GCAGUCGAGCGGAACGACACUAACAAUCCUUCGGGUGCGUUAAUGGGCGUCGAGCGGCGGACGGGUGAGUAAUGCCUAGGAAAUUGCCUUGAUGUGGGGGAUAACCAUUGGAAACGAUGGCUAAUACCGCAUAAUGCCUACGGGCCAAAGAGGGGGACCUUCGGGCCUCUCGCGUCAAGAUAUGCCUAGGUGGGAUUAGCUAGUUGGUGAGGUAAUGGCUCACCAAGGCGACGAUCCCUAGCUGGUCUGAGAGGAUGAUCAGCCACACUGGAACUGAGACACGGUCCAGACUCCUACGGGAGGCAGCAGUGGGGAAUAUUGCACAAUGGGCGAAAGCCUGAUGCAGCCAUGCCGCGUGUAUGAAGAAGGCCUUCGGGUUGUAAAGUACUUUCAGUUGUGAGGAAGGGGGUAGUGUUAAUAGCGCUAUCUCUUGACGUUAGCAACAGAAGAAGCACCGGCUAACUCCGUGCCAGCAGCCGCGGUAAUACGGAGGGUGCGAGCGUUAAUCGGAAUUACUGGGCGUAAAGCGCAUGCAGGUGGUUCAUUAAGUCAGAUGUGAAAGCCCGGGGCUCAACCUCGGAACUGCAUUUGAAACUGGUGAACUAGAGUACUGUAGAGGGGGGUAGAAUUUCAGGUGUAGCGGUGAAAUGCGUAGAGAUCUGAAGGAAUA
RNAcentral lists this ribosomal RNA (670 nucleotides) under Vibrio sp. RNAcentral's name for it is "bacterial SSU rRNA". It matches the Rfam family "Bacterial small subunit ribosomal RNA", at positions 57 to 708 of the family's 1533-position model. Lineage: Bacteria; Pseudomonadati; Pseudomonadota; Gammaproteobacteria; Vibrionales; Vibrionaceae. The record is from RNAcentral.